Molecule: long non-coding RNA, 1094 nt
Organism: Hevea brasiliensis (rubber tree)
Lineage: Eukaryota; Viridiplantae; Streptophyta; Magnoliopsida; Malpighiales; Euphorbiaceae
Exons: 3
Source: RefSeq, a predicted model, not a curated record
CAUAGCAAAAGUCCUAAACAUAGUUCAUGGAGAGUAAAAACAACUGAUCUGCUCCUUGAUAGAGGCCUGAAUCCAAAGAAUUCUGAUCCUGGUUUUGCUGAGCUUGAUGAAAAAGACAACACCCAAAUUAAUUGAACUAUCCCAAGGGAGUCAUGAUGCUGCUUGUUCAUCCAAGAUUGCAGUUGGAGUUUGACAAAGUGUUGAAGACUGAUUAAAGUAUCAUUUGUAUGCACUAAUACCUAUACUUGAAGGCCAAUCUCAUUUUCUUGCAUAAAGAAGCAUAUUAUUGAUGUCUUGGAUAAAUCUCAUCUGACUGCACUCGUCCAAUGAUUGCAACAACAAGAGUUGAUUGCCCAUUUUUUCCACAUUGCUUAUGAGCUUUGAAACCAAGUACUCCUCAGAAAGUAUGUCCAAGUCCUGAUUUAAGUUGGCAAUUGCAGGUUGACUAGCUUAUAGUAUUAACAGAAAAUUCCAUGCCAUGGGGAUGGGAUGCAAAGUACUACUCAAAAUAUCCAUCAAAACACAACUUCAGCGUAAUUGCCACAACUUCUUGAACAGCCCCAGGGCUCUCUUCUCAGCACAAGCCACUUGUAGGAGCACUGACAGCAACAGUGUCAGGAAUUAAACUUACUAGUUUCAUCCAUUUGACAAUGCAAACAAUAACCAUCCAUCAAUGGAUUUUUAUAUAGAAUAAAUGUAGAACUUUUUUAAACCGUUCCUUCCUUACGAAGUGUCAUCACCAUUUCUUUGAAGAAAACUGAAGCUUACUUGGAUUGGCCUGAGCUAUGUAGACCAUGAAUCAAGGAGCUGUAAGUGGCUUCAUUCCAUGGUAAAAAAUAAAAAAAAGCUGCAAGUGGUAACAUGAGGUGAAAUUCCACCACACUAGGCACAACCCCUCUUGAAUAAGCCUUUUAGCAAACCAUUAGCUGCACUAGUUUCUCUAAUUUUACAUACACAAUUGACGAUUUCAGUAAAUGUAUAGGCAUGAGGUUGGUACUCUCUGGCCAUUGGCAAUCUCAGUAAGUUACCGAGAACAAUUCACCAAUGGCGUCAUUUGACUUGAAAAGUUGAUUCAUGAGGAAGGCAUCCUUGGC